This 460-nucleotide ribosomal RNA is filed under the name uncultured bacterium. RNAcentral's name for it is "partial 16S ribosomal RNA". It matches the Rfam family "Bacterial small subunit ribosomal RNA", at positions 338 to 795 of the family's 1533-position model. The record is from RNAcentral.
CCUACGGGUGGCAGCAGUGAGGAAUAUUGGUCAAUGGACGAGAGUCUGAACCAGCCAAGUAGCGUGAAGGAUGACUGCCCUAGGGGUUGUAAACUUCUUUUAUAAAGGAAUAAAACGAGCCAUGUGUGCCUUUUUGCAUGUACUUUACUAAUAAGGAUCGGCUAACGCCGUGCCAGCAGCCGCGGUAAUACGGAGGAUUCGAGCGUUAUCCGGAGUUAUUGGGUUUAAAGGGAGCGUAGUGGGGUUGUUAAGUCAGUUGUGAAAGUUUGCGGCUCAACCGUAAAAUUGCAAUUGAUACUGGCAGUCUUGAGUACAGUAGAGGUAAGCGGAAUUCGUGGUGUAGCGGUGAAAUGCUUAGAUAUCACGAAGAACACCGGUGGCGAAGGCAGCUUACUAGACUGUGACUGACAGUGAUGCUCGAAAGUGUGGGUAUCAAACAGGAUUAGAUACCCGAGUAGUC